UUGAUUAUGUCGUAUGUUUAAUUUGCAUAUUUAAUUAUGUUUGAUUGCACGUGUUUAAUCUUAUUGCAAUUAGGAUCUUGGUAGUUAUGAUUAUUACUUUAAUGAUUGUGCGCUUGCAUGAUCACCUCACGUGUUAGUUGAUAAAUAUAAAAUCAAUCCAAAUUGCCUGCCAAAAAUCAUUUUGUUAAAAUGAACAAGAUUAGGUACCGAAAUGGCACUAAUUGGUUAAUUAGUGUAAUCAAGUCCCCGAACCUAAAUUCUCUGGUUGCGUAGGAAGUGAGGCACGCUCCCAUGUCUCACUUGGUUUCUAGCCGACCCCAAUAGGCUAGUGGCGACUCCUUUUAUGCAAAAUUCCUAAAAUAUAUCACAAUGUCACGCGGGGUAUGGGCUUGGGAGAGCUCGCGCCUAAUCAUGGGCCUUAGGCCCGUCCUUAGGCAAUACCCCUAAACCUGUUCCCUCCCCCCGAGGGUAGGUCGCGACAGCUUGGCGACUCCGCUGGGGACUUGGUUUUAAACCUUAGAGGACUUAGGUCAAAAUUAAUUUUGUUCAAAAAUAUUUUGGUUUGGCAGCGAGGAUUUCAGGUGCGCCCCUACAUGAAAGGUGUUAAAUGUUCUUACAGAAUGGGAGGUAUAAGGGGAAGUGUUUGCUUACCUUUGUCUUGUAGGGAAAUGUAGGAAUGUAUGGUUUAUUUUUAUGUACGGAGUGUUGUUUGCUUAUAAAUUGUUGUGCAUGUAUUCUCUGCAUUGCACUACACCAUGGCACACACAACCUGCCGCGGGACCUGGGCCGCAUAGGAUCACUUAGGAUGGUGUUGAGGUGGAUACCACUCCGACUACAAUCGCGUAGUACGAGUCGCCCACCUUAACCCUGGAAUUUCUUUCUUCACGUUAAAGGUACCCACCCCGGUCUGCAACCGUGUGACAUGGGUCGGUUCUUUGACGAAGCCGGAGACAUGGGUAACCCGACCCAGCCACGACCUUGUUGGUUCAGUCCGGUGAUCCCAUGGCUCCAUUUUGGGCCGUAUAGAGUAGAAAUCGAACCACAUUCCAUGUGCAUGUCUAUGUAAUUUUGAAAAAAAAAAGCAUGAGACAAAGGUCGGCACCCAUUGUAAGUAUCAUUUCCCUUUUUAUUUGCUCAUUUUGUAUCGCUUUUUCAUCUUGAAAUUUGCGAAAAUCAAUCGAAUGCCCUCGGUGAUGCAAGCUUAUGAUUGAAAAAUUGACAAUCACUUUUGACAAGUGAGCAUCUGAAUGCAAGUUCUAAACAUUUUGAUUUGGCCCUGUUGAACACAUGGUUUUGUUUAAAUUUCUAGUUAUGGGCUCAAAAUCAUUUCGAAAAAAGAAAGAAAAAAAAAACUUUCAAGUUGUGAUUAUAUUGGGACACAAAAAUUGAAAUUGCAUUUUUUAUCAAAUUUUCUCAUUCUCACAUUUUGGGACUAUAAUGCAAAUCAUUUUGUGUACAAAUUUCCCAAAAUAGAAAUCACUCCAUUUUUCUAUGAGUAAAACCACAAAUCAAUUUUUCAAAAAUCAAUAACACUUUUGCAUACGAAACUUUUGGAAUAAAAGU
RNAcentral lists this long non-coding RNA (1563 nucleotides) under Eucalyptus grandis. Its description in RNAcentral is "long non-coding RNA (EGRA_LNC007095)". The record is from RNAcentral. Lineage: Eukaryota; Viridiplantae; Streptophyta; Magnoliopsida; Myrtales; Myrtaceae.